This 253-nucleotide ribosomal RNA is filed under the name uncultured bacterium. RNAcentral describes it as "partial 16S ribosomal RNA". It matches the Rfam family "Bacterial small subunit ribosomal RNA", at positions 524 to 776 of the family's 1533-position model. The record is from RNAcentral.
UACAGAGGUCUCAAGCGUUGUUCGGAUUCAUUGGGCGUAAAGGGUGUGUAGGUGGCGCCGUAAGUCGGGUGUGAAAUUUCGGAGCUUAACUCCGAAACUGCAUUCGAUACUGCGGUGCUUGAGGACUGGAGAGGAGACUGGAAUUCACGGUGUAGCAGUGAAAUGCGUAGAUAUCGUGAGGAAGACCAGUGGCGAAGGCGGAUCUCUGGACAGUUCCUGACGCUGAGGCGCGAAGGCCAGGGGAGCAAACGGG